CUCCCGUCUCCGAAAAGGAAAGGAAAACUCUUCGAUCCAGAGAGGAACGAAUUGGGGUUGCGGGCGCCGCCGCCGCCGCGCCGUCUUCCCAUCUUCUGAAUGGAUCCACCCAAAGCGCGGGGGAUCCUCCCCUUCCCUUUACCCCGGCGAGGCAGCCAGGGAGACGGCAAAGAUGUUGGUGAGGACGGAGAGAUCCCCUCCCCUCAUGGCGAUGGUGGGCAUGAGGCGACACCUCCACUUCCAGCAACGUUCAGACCUCUCCCUCAUCUAGGCGUGCCAUCGCGAUCUGUAGAACAAAGCCCAUCAGAACACCAGUCGUAGGAUGAAGGGAUUGUUUAGGGAAUGGAACAUGGUGCGCACUUGCACUACAGAGGGAUUGUCCAUCUUCCUGGAGGAACUUCUAUCUGGUUGGUGUUUGAGCCAGUUCGUUUAAUUUUCUUUUAUUUUCCUAAUCCAAUCUUCUUUGUGUCCUUUGUAGUAGGGAGGUCACCUUGUGCUAUUGAAGGAUACCGAGAAGAAUAUUUUUUCUUCAGAGAGAAGGAUACCGAGGAGAUAUUUGAUUCCAACUGGUCUAAUUGUUGUCGUUGUUCCCACUCAUGAUAACUCCCGCAUUCUUGAUGAAUUAAGCAUGAAAGGAUGGAAAACCAGGAUGAAGGCCAUAGUAUUGCAGAGUUCGAGUCAGAUCCUUGUUUUAUUAUUCGUCUUUUGUAGAUUGGAUUAACUACAUUGAGACAACACAUCAGUUGUGGCACAAUAACAAAUGGCACCAGAGGGUUGGCACCUUGAUGAUUUUUGUGUGUAACCAAUCUAAAUAUUUAAGUGUUGUUAUUGGCAAAAUAAAGGCAUGUCAUCCAUAGCUUUGAAUUAUUCAAUUUCUGAUAUCUUCAUGCUUCCUUGUUUCCUGUUAUUUGUAUGUAACCUUACAAAAUUAGGAUUUGGGAGAGAUAUCAUUUGCCCGUGAUGAUACUAGCUAUUUUUUCAGGUUUGAGAGGAGCCAUUUGUGUGCAACCGUUGCUAUUGAUAUUCGAAUUCGCAUAUAGAUCUGAGAGUUGUGCUAUGGUUGUCAUUUUCGGAGGGCAAGUUUGUCUAACUUGAUAUGCGUAUGGAGCCAUCCUUGGGGAGCCAGUCAACCUGGUCGAGCGCAUUGUUGGUAUUAGGCUUGGGGUUAUCUGGGGCAUGGUCGACCACCUCAAGGCCUUCAAGGGCUCCAUCGACCUCCAUUCAGGUAUGGUGCGGGGAUGGUAGCCAGCAGCGCCGUGGGAGGUCGUCAGCCAGCAGGAGCACGGCACGCUGGGGUGUCCCUUCCCGUUCAUAUACCAUAUGGUAGAUCAGCAAGCGAUCAAUGACUCGAACGAUUGCUUAUACCCACAGGAGAUUCAUGCUAAUUUUUAGAUCAUGUGGUCACAAAAGCAUUGAUCCAAAAUCAUAAUAUUUGGCUACUCAAAGCGGGGGUGUGAUCAGCUGACCAAGUCAUAUCAUGGCCAUUAAAGGAACAAUUGUGUCAUUGUUGCAGCAACUUCUGGGAAAUUUCCACAUGCCUGGAAUGCUUGGCGAACUGAAUCUCUGCAUACAAACAUAGUCUGUCAUGCUUGCUUUGGUGGUAGGAGAAAGAGAUGAAAUAUUUGUGUUAAUGCUAGCAUGUUCAGAAGUCUCUCCUUCCUCUUGUCUUUUUUACUUUGAUAAAUAUUCGAUGUUUAUUGUUCUAGAGCUUGUAAUGGUGUGGCUGGCGCACUAGCUAGCUCGGAUUGGUGCUGCCUAGGAACAUGUAAGCCUAUGUAGCUGUCAAUUUGUCUAGCUCGUCCCUUAAUGAAAAAUGUUAUAUCUCAGUAAUGUGUUGCUUAUGCAAUUAUUGGUGGUAAAUCAUGGGCUUGGGUUAUGAGAAAUCCUGGACUAUGUAACUUAGUCAAUCCACCAAGAGCUAAAGAGAAUGCCCACAACUUGUACAAUGGACUAAAUCAACUAAAAAAUUAGUAAUAUUGUAUAUACAAAUUAGUUCAUGUCAAUUUAAAAACAAACUAAAUCUCAACAUAUAUUUGUAUCAAUACUAACAUU
Molecule: long non-coding RNA, 2052 nt
Organism: Triticum aestivum (bread wheat)
Lineage: Eukaryota; Viridiplantae; Streptophyta; Magnoliopsida; Poales; Poaceae
Exons: 3
Source: RefSeq, a predicted model, not a curated record